Molecule: transfer RNA, 73 nt
Filed under: Ipomoea nil (Japanese morning glory)
Lineage: Eukaryota; Viridiplantae; Streptophyta; Magnoliopsida; Solanales; Convolvulaceae
Rfam family: tRNA
About the family: Transfer RNA (tRNA) molecules are approximately 80 nucleotides in length. Their secondary structure includes four short double-helical elements and three loops (D, anti-codon, and T loops). Further hydrogen bonds mediate the characteristic L-shaped molecular structure. tRNAs have two regions of fundamental functional importance: the anti-codon, which is responsible for specific mRNA codon recognition, and the 3' end, to which the tRNAs corresponding amino acid is attached (by aminoacyl-tRNA synthetases). tRNAs cope with the degeneracy of the genetic code in two manners: having more than one tRNA (with a specific anti-codon) for a particular amino acid; and 'wobble' base-pairing, i.e. permitting non-standard base-pairing at the 3rd anti-codon position.
Source: Rfam by way of RNAcentral
GGUUUCAUGGUGUAGUUGGUUAUCACGUCAGUCUAACACACUAAAGGUCCCGGUUAAAGUCCGGGCGAAGCCA